This 492-nucleotide ribosomal RNA is filed under the name uncultured bacterium. RNAcentral's name for it is "partial 16S ribosomal RNA". It matches the Rfam family "Bacterial small subunit ribosomal RNA", at positions 29 to 507 of the family's 1533-position model. The record is from RNAcentral.
AGUGAACGCUGGCGGUAGGCCUAACACAUGCAAGUCGAACGGCAGCACAGUAAGAGCUUGCUCUUACGGGUGGCGAGUGGCGGGCGGGUGAGGAAUACAUCGGAAUCUACUUUUUCGUGGGGGAUAACGUAGGGAAACUUACGCUAAUACCGCAUACGACCUACGGGUGAAAGCAGGGGAUCUUCGGACCUUGCGCGAUUGAAUGAGCCGAUGUCGGAUUAGCUAGUUGGCGGGGUAAAGGCCCACCAAGGCGACGAUCCGUAGCUGAUCUGAGAGGAUGAUCAGCCACACUGGAACUGAGACACGGUCCAGACUCCUACGGGAGGCAGCAGUGGGGAAUAUUGGACAAUGGGCGCAAGCCUGAUCCAGCCAUACCGCGUGGGUGAAGAAGGCCUUCGGGUUGUAAAGCCCUUUUGUUGGGAAAGAAAAGCAGCAGGUUAAUACCCCGCUGUUCUGACGGUACCCAAAGAAUAAGCACCGGCUAACUUCGUG